Molecule: ribosomal RNA, 254 nt
Filed under: uncultured bacterium
Lineage: Bacteria
Description: partial 16S ribosomal RNA
Rfam family: Bacterial small subunit ribosomal RNA
Source: RNAcentral
UACGGGGGGAGCAAGCGUUGUUCGGAUUUACUGGGCGUAAAGGGCGCGUAGGCGGCCACCGCAAGUCGAUUGUGAAAUCUCCGGGCUUAACCCGGAAAGGUCAACCGAUACUGCCGGGCUAGAGUCCGGAAGAGGCGAGUGGAACUCCUGGUGUAGCGGUGGAAUGCGCAGAUAUCAGGAAGAACACCAACGGCGAAGGCAGCUCGCUAGGACGGUACUGACGCUGAGACGCGAAAGCGUGGGGAGCGAACAGG